Salvia miltiorrhiza (redroot sage) is the source of this 3996-nucleotide long non-coding RNA. RefSeq lists it as uncharacterized. Lineage: Eukaryota; Viridiplantae; Streptophyta; Magnoliopsida; Lamiales; Lamiaceae. The transcript is spliced from 5 exons. The record is from RefSeq and is a predicted model, not a curated record.
AAAAUCCCUAAUUAAAAAUGGCAAAACUGUUGCGCUACCAGAUAAAACAAAAUAACUAGAUUGGUAGAUUAAAACCAAAGUGGUGAUCAAACUUGUACGGCAGCACGUAAUCAAGCAUAAUGCUGAAGGGAAGAGAAGUACAAAUAGCCGUCUUGAAAAUUUCAUUACAGAGCCGACUGAAUUCGAGAUUUCUGUAAUGUUUGGAUCAGGUAUCUGUGAAUAUUCCCAUUUCUGCGCCAUAAAAUCGGUAGGAUUGUCUUAUUUUUACCCAAAUUCUUGAUAUGCUACUUGUUGGAAUUCCAAGCCGUUUCCACGUUUUAAUUUCCAGUUUAAUGUGUAAAGUUGAUGGAAUAUAAGUUCACCUUGUCUUAAAAUUGUGAAAGAGAAUUAGGGAGAUAACUCAUUUAUAAAGUUCUUUAAUUGUAAUUUCUAAGGAAUAAAAGAAUGUUAUUACAUGACCUUCAGCACUUUCUUUGUGUGAAAAUUUGAUUUAUUGCAUCAGCACAAGCCUUCCACUCUGAUGCAUUGAACCUGACUUGCAUUGUUCAAGAAUUAACUCAUAUACAUCUUUAUUUUGAGUAUUUGUUGAUGACAGCUUUGCUAUGGACCUUUGGUAAAGAAUUCAUCUUAUUGAUACAUUUAAUCAGAAAAUUUGCAGCAUAAUCUGAGUGCUGCUCCCUCAUUGAUGAGGCUGCUGCCUAUGAAAGUGGUUUGCGAUGUGCAACUCUUCCAAGUUUCCGGUACACGGAAGAACGCCGGAGAGUAGGACUGGUUGCAGAUACUGAACUAUCGUCAAGACUGUAAGGAGCACCAGGGAUAUAGUUGUAGACCGCGAGUGGCGUCCUCACCACAUGUGAUCCAUCUGCCCAAAAGAUUGUGCCUGAGGUGAUCGGCUGCUGUGAAAUGGCUGGUCCCAUAACAUUAACUGUGAAGGUUUGGGUUUCUCCUACAGCUGAGAAUGUUAGGAUGGAGGGUUCAACGCUGACACUGAUCAUUGCAGGCAUGUACAAGAAAACAUUGUAGGUUGAGUUUGCUUCACCAACAUUAGUCACUUUUCUGGUGAAGGUGGCAGAAAUCGGCUGCCCAUCUUCGACAUAUAGUGAGUAGGAUGGGUAGUUAAGAUCCCACGCCCUUCCAGGUAAUAUACCAUUGCAAGUGCUGUUAUCUCCUGUGACUAGCAUGAGAGUGGAAGCAUUGUAGCCUUGUUUGCAGAGGAAGUUGAUGUAAUCUGCUUCUGAUGCAUCGAAUACUAGUCCAGGGUCAGUUGCAGCGACUGGGUUGAUUUGGCCCGAACCAUAUGCGAAUUCAAGAUCCUCACUUUUUUUUGGGUCCAUGACAUAAGCUGAUCAUCAAGGAAGAUUAUCAUGAACAAAUAUGUCAUCAACUCUUCAAACAUUGUUUGAUAGUAUGAAUGAAAUGAAGUGAUUCACCUGUGGUCAUGAGGGCUGAUUUAAUAGCAGCUGGUGACCAACUGGGGUGAGCAGCUUUGAGGUAGGCAGCAGCACCACUGGCAUGAGGGCAAGACAUGGAUGUACCUGAAAUGAUGUUGAAGAGUGUGCUUCUAGUGUCGUCGUAGUAAACUGUGGAUGGUGAUACGGGAGACCAUCCGGCAAGAAUGUCCACACCAGGGGCUGUGAUAUCAGGCUGGUAUUCACAUAGUAUAGGAUGCAGUUAAGACACAAUAGAGCACGAGGGAAAAAUGGAUUUCUUGAUAAAGAAUUAUUAUGGCAUUGAUCACCUUGAGAAUGUCUGGAGAGAUAGGACUUGGCCCUCUAGAAGAAAAUGAAACGACGGUCGGAGCCAUGGGGUCUUGCCAUGCAUCGGUGAAGAAAAUGGUUGCUAUAGGAUUCCUGAAAUGGAAAUGUGUCACGCAAUCUAUAAACUUCGUCUUGAUUAUUGAAGGGAGUUCAAAAAAGAAGGGUAUGCAGCACUCACUCUGUGCUUCUAAUGUAUUCCAGAACACUUUUACCAUCUGAGGGGCUGAUGAGUGCAGUUGGUAGAGGCCAGCUGAAGGCAACAUCGAGAUUUUCAACAUUUACGUCCGACAUGAUAUUUCCAACACCGUUAGCCAGAAGAACUCCAGAACCAUCCCAGAUUGUGUCACAGUAAACAAUUUUACCAGACACUAUCUCGGCGUUCAUGGCUCCAGUUAGGCAAUAACCAGCGAUUUCUGGAUUGGCACCGGCAGUGUAGUUCGCAGCUUCUCCUCCCCAUAUUAAAGGUGAAGAUUUGGCCAUUUCCAAGUUCCAUUCUGGCAACAAAUUUUCUGUCAAUGGUGCUGGCAGCAACUGUGAGACUCCAUGGAGAAUAGUUGGAAACUGAUACAGGGAAAGGACCAGAAUUUCCAGCUGAGUUUGAAGUAAGGAUUCCAUUCUUCAUGGCAUGGAAUGAUCCAAUCGCGAUAGAGUCAUCAAAAUAAUCAAGAGGCCAGUCUGAUCCCAACGAAACGGAGAUGAUAUCAACUCCAUCUGCGAUUGCAUCAUCAAAGGCUUUAAGAAUAUCUGCAUCACUGCAACCAUCUGACCAGCAGACUUUGUACACUGCAAUUCUUGAACUGGGGACACCUCCUCGUGCUUUCCCUGCUGCUACACCGAAGUAGCUUGCUUCUACCUCAACCCCGGCAGCAGUUGAUGCUGUGUGUGUUCCAUGUCCUUCUGUAUCCCUUGGAGAGGGCAUGUCUCCAUCAUAGUACUGGUCAUCACUGUGAUAAAACCGUGCUCCAAUGAUCUUGCUGCACUCAUAAUGUUAAGAUAAUUCUGAUUAGCCAAUCCUAUAUAUCGCGAACUAAAGAAGAAAAUUUAUUGGUGUACAAACUCUACUACUUUCUGCCUGCUAAACAUUUUUCUAUAAUUUCACCUGUGAUACUUUUUUCCUGUUUGUCUCACUAAUUAAGUUUGUGAUAAAUUUAAAUGAGAAUGCUUACUUGUUGCAUGUGAAAUUUGUGCCUGUGCAGGUUCCCUUCCAUUUGGCUGGUGGAGAACUGAAACCUGUGUCGUUGAAACUUGGAUGCUCUGGCCAGACUCCUAUGGAUGGACAGCAGAGGAUGCAAGAAGUUGAGAUAAAAAAUAUUCAUAUAUUCCUCAUUGAAAUGGAAACUUCACGUAAUUUACCAGUGUCAAGGAGACCUAUAACGACAUCUGAUGUCGGUGUUGCUGCAAGUUUGUCUUUGCAAUCUAUUUAGUUAGAAUGAAUAUGUUGGAACCUCUUUGGUUGAUUUCGUUGCUCCGAGAUUGGAAUUAGCUCACCUGAAAUUCUGGUGGCUUCCUCGUCUGUGAGCUUGGCUGCAAAUCCAUUGAAACUUCUUCCAUAACUAUGGACCAACGAGUCUUUAGGCUGCUGAAGCACUGAAUCCAUUGAAACAGAGAGUCUUGCGAGGAUCAAGGUUCCUCUCUAUUUGUAAGGUUCAUGUUAUGUUUGGAAACAAACCUUCCGAGUACUCUAUGCAACAUUCCUUGAUGCUUGGAAGCAACCGAUGCACCUUCUUGAGGUCGAUCUCCCAUGUAGACAACGUGAAGCUGCAAAGACAACAGCUACUGACUGAGGGAGAGAGAGAGAGAGAGAGAGAGAGUUGAGAAAUUUGGCAUACCUUCCUUUCUAGGCAGUGGCAGUUGAGCACAAGGGCUGCAAGCACCAAAGGAUAGAGAAGUGAAAGCAGCCCGAUUUUCGCCAUUUCGAAUAGAAGAAAUAGACUCCGAUGGUUUGUUUUGUUGUUUAUAUAGGAAUGGAUUUGCAGCUGCAGGUUGUUUCCUCCGCAUGGUUUGAUGAGCUUAACCGGCAAUGAAAUGCCGCAGGCUACUUGUCUUGUUUUGAGAUUGCCGCCUCUACUUUCACAUAAUCUCUUGUUCAAUAGAUUCUGCAUUUUCCGAUAUUUCUCGGAUUAUUGUUAUCACAAUGUCACACUGUGUUGCAUGUAUUGUUUAACAUGUUUUAUUUUCAACAUGCCAAAAAGUAUGCUAAAUAUUUCUGUCAAUACAUCUUUGCAUAUUAAUAGAUCAA